AUACGUAGGGGGCGAGCGUUGUCCGGAAUGAUUGGGCGUAAAGGGCGCGUAGGCGGCCUGUUAAGUCUGGAGUGAAAGUCCUGUUUUCAAGAUGGGAAUUGCUUUGGAUACUGAUGGGCUUGAGUGCAGGAGAGGUUAUCGGAAUUCCCGGUGUAGCGGUGAAAUGCGUAGAGAUCGGGAGGAACACCAGUGGCGAAGGCGGGUAACUGGACUGCAACGGACGCUGAGGCGCGAAAGUGUGGGGAGCAAACAGGAUUAGAUACCCUGGUAGUCCACACUGUAAACGAUGAAUUCUAGGUGUAAGAGGUAUCGACCCCUUUUGUGCCGGAGUUAACACAAUAAGCAUUCCGCCUGGGGAGUACGGCCGCAAGGUUGAAACUCAAAGGAAUUGACGGGG
This 397-nucleotide ribosomal RNA is filed under the name uncultured bacterium. Its description in RNAcentral is "partial 16S ribosomal RNA". It matches the Rfam family "Bacterial small subunit ribosomal RNA", at positions 523 to 918 of the family's 1533-position model. The record is from RNAcentral.